CUCACACUCAUCUGAGCGCUAUCCCUGCUGCAAUCAUUCAAGUUUCAGCUAAUGUUUAUCGCCAUUUCGCUUCCUUUCUGAAGCUUAAGCUGUGUAAAUUAUAUGUCUUUGCGUGGUUGAGUUCCUAAAGAAGAUGGUGAGGAGCACUUUGUCUCAUCAUGUAAUCUCAACAGCGGCUAUCACAGAAAGAUCAACACACUGAGAUUUUGUUUGCUCAGGCUCACAGCACGGCCCAAUCAACAACAAGCGCACACAAACACAUGAGCUAAACAAGCUGGAGCUUGCUGCAGGGGGAAUGUUUGUGAAAGACGGGAGCAUUACAGGUUUAUCUAAGGUGUGGUCCACCUUAAGCAUUGGUAAUCAUCCAGGAUACGACUGCUUGGGACUGCCAGGCCUGCACUGCUUUCAUUUAACCCAUGAGUGGCAUAUUGGCACACAUCAAAACACUGCGGUUAGCAGGAUUUUUCUUUGCCACAUGCAAUCAGGAUAAAGGCACCCCUUAAAGAAAAUAGGAAAGAGAUCCAUACAGGUUUGGAAUGGCAUGAGGAACAGGAGGAAGCGAAUGCCCUCCCCUGUCGGUCGAGGAAUAACAUGUUUACGUCACGCCUGCCCUUCACAACUUUGUCUCUUUAGGAGGGGCCACACUCAGGGGAGGAACCAACUGGAGAGGGACUCGAGAUUAAAGAGACAGUGUCUCAGAGUUACAGGAGACAAACUCUAAGGACAAAUAUGAAACUUAAAGACACAAAAGGAAUUUCAAUGUGGUACUGUAUGAGAAACAGCCUAGUUUUGGCUGGCUCUUUUUUUUUUUUUUAGCUGCUUAAAGUGAUUUUUUUCAUUUUUGGGUGAACUAUCCCUUUAAUCAUAGUGAAAUGUCAUAGUGAAAGGUUCUUAAAAGAACCAUUUUAAAGAACCUUUUCCCACUACAAAGAACCUUUUGUGCAAUGGGAAGGUUCCAUGGAUGCCAAAAGAUCUUCACAGAAUGAAACAUGCUAGAGAACCUUUCUUUUUAAGAGUGUACUGUAUAUACAUUCAGAUUUAUACCUAUAUAUGCAGAAUGUAUAACUAUCUAUUCAGAAUUACAACUAUAUAUUCAGGAUUUAUAACCAUUUAUUCAGAUUUACAACUAUUUAUACUCAGUAUUUAUAACUAUAUAUUC
This is a long non-coding RNA of Myxocyprinus asiaticus (Chinese sucker), 1159 nucleotides long. RefSeq lists it as uncharacterized. Lineage: Eukaryota; Metazoa; Chordata; Actinopteri; Cypriniformes; Catostomidae. The record is from RefSeq and is a predicted model, not a curated record. The transcript has 3 exons.